This is a long non-coding RNA of Seriola aureovittata, 1772 nucleotides long. RefSeq lists it as uncharacterized. The transcript is spliced from 9 exons. The record is from RefSeq and is a predicted model, not a curated record. Lineage: Eukaryota; Metazoa; Chordata; Actinopteri; Carangiformes; Carangidae.
UAGCUGAGACAGACAGGUGUAUGACACACACUCAGUCGGGUCUGGAGAGAAAUUAAAUAACGUGUGUAACAUUUCCAAGAGUUAAAGUGGUUCUAACUGAAGCUGAAGUGUCACCGGAGGGAGAAAAUUAUCUGAGAGAGAGAAAUUAUCAGCGGGAGAAACUCUGUCGGGCCAUUCCUUCCAACUAAGUAUCCCGUGGGCUGCAGGAGAGUUUCAAGGCGGUUUGGCGGGAGAGAUGUGAGGCAAAACUACUGUGUGAGGCGAUUGGAACAGGUGCAUGCAGUCACUGAGUCCUUCAUGGCCUCCAGGAGAGCCAGCUGGUUGUGGACAGGCUCCUCAGUCAGGAUGUGGACAUGCUAACGAGAUGCCUGGGACUUGCUUUGGGAAGUGGCCUGUGUGACUUGUUGCUGAGUGUGAAGUCGACGGCACGUCAUGGAGCACCUGGCCAAGGACAGCCUGCAGGAGAGAAAAGAGAGGGAGCUACAGAGAGGUGAAGGAGAGAUGGAAGGUGAAGUAAAGGAGAAAUAGAAAGGUAACCAUCGGACUCAGCUGUAUGAUCAGCAGAGGGACGAGUACCUGCCGGCUGCUCAGGACCUCAGGAUGCUUGUCAUAGCCAAAGAUCCUGAUGACAGAGUUCGACCCGGAGCUGAGUAGUCGAUUCAUCUCCUGUCAAUCCAGUUUCCAAGUGCGUGGAUCCAAAAUAACCUUUACGGCGAUCACUUUGACUGUCAACAGGGGAAAAAAUACAAUCUUUCCAUGUAAUCCCUGGCACCCACCCCUGGUCCUGCUUUACAAAAAGGUUGGCACGUGUGACUCAGCAGUGAUGUGUAGGCCAAACUCCAAAUAGUGAACCCGAUGAACUAAAUAGUUUGGGUUUCGUCUGAAGAAGCCUGUAAUGGGUUUGCAGUCUCCUUCGUGUCAGAUAACGGACAGCAAGGUGUCUGUAAUAUUCUGACACCCUCAGCCGGUCCGGUGGGACCGUACAGGACGUGAAGGACAGUGGACUUCACAUGCUCUGGUGGUCGUCUGAAUUUCCUGAUGUCAUGUUUAAUGUGGUCAACAAAGAGAGGGGAGUAAAGAAGUGUGACCUACAAUGAAACCUUCAGGAAGCUCACAGGUAGUAUCAGCUGAGGAGGAGGAGACGGGUUCCCAGAGACUCAGAUAUUGUAACAUCAGUGUAGUUUAAUGAGCUCAGAACCAGAUAUUUGAAAAGUCCUUUGUAAUUCUGCUGUGUGCUCUGUUAAAGGCUCCUGUCUGACCUUGGACUUCAAAUAAACCUUCACCCACAUGAAUCGCCAGAUGAAUAUAAUUUGUGUGGUCCAAACCGAAAUGUCUCAGCAAAUAUAGCCUAGAUUGGGAUCAGAUUAGCAAUUAAUAUUGAAGCCGCCCUAGAGGAUGAAUCCUACUGUGUUUGCUGAUCCUUUGAUUUUUUUCCUCUAGUGCCACCGUGAGGUUCACAUUUGUGGUUUUGAAUGAAACAUUUCUACAGCUGUUGGAUGGAUUGUGAUGAAACGUGGGUCAGAUGUUCUGGGACACUUCCACUGGUUGGUUAGAUUGGUCGUGUGUUUUGGUUUCCACACAGUGUGUAAAAACGUGCACUAAAAGUUGUCUGUCAGCCACACAGACGGGAUGGUAGAUGAUGACGAUAGCCGCUGCAUUAACUGUAUUCGUUCUUGGUGGUCCUGUAAACUGUGAUGUGAACCUGCUGCAGGUUAGAGGGCUGCAGUGACUCCAGGUGUCAGCUGACUCUUGAAAAAGACUCUUGACACAGA